GCCCCCCAGGCCCCGAUGUGGGUCAGUGAUCUAUGCCUGGGUGGGCUAAUCCCUGUUUAAAAAAAAAUGCUCCACAAAAAACUGUAUAUUCAGUAAGGUAUAGUUUUGUACAUAGCAGAUUUAUUAGUGUAUGCAAACACCUUUGUACACAUACAAAUUAUGCUACAGUACUGUACACACUAUACUGCUGCAUUCACCAGCAGAUGCUGAUGUCUUGAGCUUGUAAUGCAAGCUGGCCAAAUGGUUAUAUGAUACAGGAUGGUCUGCCUUUGUCCUGUACCUUCUAUAGCAGGUGUUGCUAACUGCCUCCAUGAAGGAGGGAUUCUACAUGUACUGUAUAUUGUACAUACAGACGAGCAUACACUGUUCACUCCACUAGGGUAUUUUCACACUGAUGAAUGUACUGUAUAGUAAUAUAACUAAUAACUUUUAUGUCUUAACACUUCUAAUGAUAGGCUGGUACAGUAAUGUACAGGCCUGCACAAUACAGAUCGUAUACAUAACACCAGUGAGCGAGCAAACAUGCUUGUACAAUGGCAGGAGGCACUGAACUAAGAGUGUCAUGAUACAAGAGUUUGAGGAGAUAGGUUGUGAGAUACAUCAGCCAAUCAUAGGCAUCUCGUGCAGUCGCAUGACAAUAGCGGCCAAUUGUAGCUCAUGAGCACUCCGAGCCUACCCAUCCGUGCAUCCCUUUUUCAGAAACACGAUGCAAUCUUGGAAGUUCGUUCCGGUGCCUGGAAUGGAGAGAGAUUCCGGAAAUGCAGAUGGUAAUAUCCUCAGAAAUUCGUUUACAUGCUGGGAAUACAGACAUUUCUCAAUGUAAAGAAGAAAAAAAAUCUGGCUAUUGGGGAGUUGCAGGUAUCAAAGACUCUGGCUAAUGGGGAGUUUAUUAGAUACACUGUAUACAAUUAAUUCCUGAAUUUCGUUUUUAUUUUUGUGCACAGAAACAUUAAUGUUUUCCAACUUUAAAUUAUAGAUUAAACUACCAUAUCUAUAACUUUCAAGAACCAUUAAAUGUAAUGUAGUACUCCAGUAUUUAUAUGUGCCAUAAGGUGAAAUUCUGAAUUUUUGUAAUAGCACCAUCCAAGAGGCAACAUGGCUGGAGCUGCACUCAAGGCCCUUAGCAAUCCCAACUACAGUGUUACGUUCGGUAACCAUUCACUACUGGGCUGACUGGAAGUGCCCCUGGCGCACCCACCCCCACCCAUAAUUGUAGGGAUUAGAUAUAAUUUUCUUACAAUUUAAAAAUAAUAAUUUUUUUGUGAGUGACAAUUUCUUACCAACUUCUCUUUUAAAGCAAUAAUAAAAAAUGGGAAAUGACGUCAAUUACCAGACCCUCAGAUGUGUAAGAUUUUCUGUUGUGAGAAUUCUGUGGGGUCAUGUACAACACCUUCAUAAUGGUAAGUAGUAUACACUACAGUACUUGCUUAGACUUGGGAAAUUCUAGUUAAAUUCCAUUCUGAUAAAUUUUAUCUUUGUUCUUUAAAUGUAUGCUUUCUUUUCCAAGUUAUUAACAGUUGAAUGAUCCAUACUUGGUAACAAUGUUGGACAAUAUGACAUUACUACACAGUUUAAAGAUCUAUACUUGGUAACAGUGUUCAAAAAUACUAUUUAAUUGAAUUGUAAUGAGGUUGGAUAGUUACCUUCCACAUACCUGUUAUGUACUUAAGAAGUAAUUAAUUGCCGAUACAGGUAUCUCCCAUUUAGCGCUAAUUUACUUAAUAAUUCACUUUAGUGGUAUACUGUAUAUAGAUUUUUUGGACAUCCUUUCUCAUUUGACAUUAGGGCAAUACUGUAUACAGUUUAGUGAUAGCUUGACUCACUGUGAAAGGGGAAAACUGUGGAUGAAGGCAGCCAAAGGGAUGGUAUGUUGUCAUUGCUACAUGUAAUGAAACUAUAAAAUUAUUGAAAAUCAUUACAAUACUUGUACUUUAAUGUGGCUUUGAAAUAAAGAAAAUAUAUGAAAAGAUAAAAUAAAAAAAAAUAAAGAGCACUGGUGUAUGGGAAGUGAGCAUAUGUGUGGAGGCAGUGGGCUGUAACUGCAUCUACUCGCCACCUCAGCCUUGCACUCCCUCCCCCGAUCUGAUGUUAUGACGCACAAUUCUUGAGUAAGCUGAGUGACUGCCAGGCUGAGCUAUAUCAUAUUGCUCAGCAGAAGGUUUGAGUGUGGAAGGAGUUAUUUUUGUACAUAGUAUAUGUGCUAUUGUAUUUUAUAAUAUGCUAUAUAUCAAUUAUUAAAUUUCCUUCAAUAAUGUCUCACUGAAUUUGUCCUCAAAAUUUAUUAUGCAUGAUGAUAACCAUAUUGGCCAGAGUACUGAGCUCCUCCAGUUGGCAGGGUUUAUGGUGACAUGGAUAUCCUUAAUGAUAAGAUAUAAAUCAUCUGUUAAAUGGUAGUCUUAGGUAUGUUUUUAACAUAAUUUUUCUUUUUUGGGACUUAAGGUAUUGACGAUGUAAAGAUUCAUCAUCUGUGCAGGAAUUGCACUAGAUGCUUCAUCCCCAAAAGACAAGAAUAUUGAAGAGGACAAGCAAACUCUGUUCACCUGACCAAUUGCUGUUAGUUUCUGCACUAAGAUAUUCACUUUAUGGUGCUUAUGCCCAUUGUUGGGUAUGAUUCAGCAGCAAAGACCAAACACUGCUCUCAAUUAGCUUCAGCAAGAUUCUCAUUCAUAAUGUUCAUGUGCUGAAGCCUUCUGUACAGACUUCGUCCAUGAUGUUUCUUACCUUAAACAUGAGGAUAAUAAGAAGACAAACCAACUAUCAAAAUGUCUGACCAGUGGUUCUUCAAGGCUGUGCACUGGGGAAUCCACCUUAACUUCAUGCAAAAUAUUGGGGAAAUGAAAAGAGGACAAAGCACUAUCCAUUCACCUUAAUAAAGAAUUUGCCAGAAUGUGCAGUGGGAUGUCUACCAAACUUAUUGGUCAAUGUAUUAUUCCCAAUAUUGGUUCAGCAACAAAGACCAAGUUCAUGCUGUAAAGUGAGGGUAAGUUCCUUAUUCAUAACACUUGUACUGUAUAAGUAUUGGGGGUCCUCGCUAUAUUUUGUACCGAUAUACAUUAUUUCACACACGUAGCUAACAAAUAUAGGAAGAAAUUUUUGUUGUAUUGUACUUCAGAUGGUUCACAUACAGUACACGUCGUUUGCAUCAUCCACUAUUUUAUACUAAGUCUGUGUGUACCCAAAUAUGAUGCAUAAAUAAUAUGAAAACAUCUAAUAUAAUGUACAAAUAAACCUAAUAAGUAAUAAACAUGCUCUACAAGUGUUAAGUUUCUACCUCGCCAAAAUACAUCAGUCGCCCCUUACACGACUGCAUGUUAAUGCCAUUCUUAUCUUACCUUAGAAUUUGCAAAAAAGUCACUUCAAUGUGCUAGUGUGCCUUAUGAAUAAAGGAAUACAUAAGAAAUGGUUAUUCCCUUUAUGUUAUUGACCUUAUAAUAAUGUUUUUUCUUCAUUUACUAUGACAUCACCCACACCUUUCUGCUUUCUCUUGACCUUGAAGGUCUUUUUCCACUCAUCUUGAAUAAGGGUACACAGUAACAGAUGCAUAACUGAACACAAACUGGGGAAAGAGUUCUAACUGAGCAGUACCAUUGUUGUGGUGGCAGCUGGGAAGGUGAGCUGCCCUUCAACCAUCUUGUAACUACUGUACCACCAGAAUCCACACAAGAAACUUUUUAUAAUUUCAGCAAGUUUUGGGGUUCUAUAUCAUGAUUUUUCCUUUUGAAAAUCUUAACAAAUUAACCAGAAGUCCUGAACACACAUUCAUAACUGAACACAAUUUCUGGGGAAGAAUUCUAAUUGAAGAAUGCCAUUACGUAUUGUGGCUGCUGGCUCCUGGGUAAGUGAGCAGCCAUCCGACCAUCUUGUGGUUACCACCAAGAAUCUACACAAAAUAAAUUUUAUAAUUUUUUUGAUUUUCUUUGUUCUUUACCACGAUUUUCAUAUUUAUUUAUUUAUUUAUUUAUUUUUUUUUUUUACCAAAAUAACUAAUGGCGAAUUUUUUGUCCUUAUUGCAAAUUUUUGGGUCCUAAUUUCAAACUUCUGUAAGGGGAAUUGUUCGUAAACCGGGAUUCCAUAUCGCGAGGGUUGCCAAUGUGAUGAUAACCAUAUAGGCCAGAGUACUGAACUCCUCCAUUUGGCAGGGUUUAUGGUUUAUACUGAUAAUAUAUAAAUCAUCUGUUAUAAGAAUCUUAGGUAUAUUUUAACAUAAUUUUUCUUUUUUGGGAAUUACAGCAAUAAUGAUGUUAAUAUUCAUCAUCUGUGCAGGAAUUGCACUAGAUGCUUCAUCCACUAAGCACAAGGAUACUGAGGAGAGGACAAGCAAACUCUGUUCACCUGACCAAUUGCUGGGAGUUUCUGCACUGAGGAAUUUACUUUAUGCACCUUAUGCCUAUUGCUAGAAAAGAUUCGGCAACAAAGAUCCAAUUAACUUCAGCAAGAUUCUCAUUCAUAAUGUUCAUGUGCUGAAGCCUUCUGUACAGACUUCGUCCAUGAUGUUUCUUACCUUAAACAUGAGGAUAAUAAGAAGACAAACCAACUAUCAAAAUGUCUGACCAGUGGUUCUUCAAGGCUGUGCACUGGGGAAUCCACCUUAACUUCAUGCAAAAUAUUGGGGAAAUGAAAAGAGGACAAAGCACUAUCCAUUCACCUUAAUAAAGAAUUUGCCAGAAUGUGCAGUGGGACGUCUACCAAACUUAUUGGCCAAUGUAUUAUUCCCAAUAUUGGUUCAGCAACAAAGACCAAGUUCAUGCUGUAAAGUGAGGGUAAGUUCCUUAUUCAUAACACUUGUACUGUAUAAGUAUUGGGGGUCCUCGCUAUAUUUUGUACCGAUAUACAUUAUUUCACACACACGUAGCUAACAAAUAUAGGAAGAAAUUUUUGUUGUAUUGUACUUCAGAUGGUUCACAUACAGUACACGUCGUUUGCAUCAUCCACUAUUUUAUACUAAGUCUGUGUGUACCCAAAUAUGAUGCAUAAAUAAUAUGAAAACAUCUAAUAUAAUGUACAAAUAACCCUAAUAAGUAAUAAAAAUGCUCUACAAGUGUUAAGUUUCUACCUCGCCAAAAUACAUCAGUCACCCCUUACACGACUGCAUGUUAAUGCCAUUCUUAUCUUACCUUAGAAUUUGCAAAAAAGUCACUUCAAUGUGCUAGUGUGCCUUAUGAAUAAAGGAAUACAUAAGAAAUGGUUAUUCCCUUUAUGUUAUUGACCUUAUAAUAAUGUUUUUUCUUCAUUUACUAUGAAAUCACCCACAUCUUUCUGCUUUCUCUUGACCUUGAAGGUCUUUUUCCACUCAUCUUGAAUAAGGGUACACAGUAACAGAUGCAUAACUGAACACAAACUGGGGAAAGAAUUCAAACUGAGCAGUACCAUUGUUGUGGUGGCAGCUGGGGAGGUGAGCUGCCCUUCAACCAUCUUGUAACUACUGUACCACCAGAAUCCACACAAGAAACUUUUUAUAAUUUCAGCAAAUUUUGGGGUUCUAUAUCAUGAUUUUUCCUUUUGAAAAUCUUAACAAAUUUACCAGAAGUCCUGAACACACAUUCAUAACUGAACACAAUUUCUGGGGAAGAAUUCUAAUUGAAGAAUGCCAUUAUUGUUGCUGCUGGCUCCUGGGUAAGUGAGCAGCCAUCCGACCAUCUUGUGGUUACCGCCAAGAAUCCAUACAAAAUAAAUUUUAUAAUUUUGGUGAUUUUCUUUGUUAUUUACCAUGAUUUUCAUAUUUAAUUUUUUUUUUUACCAAAAUAACUAAUGGUGAAUUUUUUGUCCUUAUUGCAAAUUUUUGGGUCAUAAUUUCAAACUUCUGUAAGGGGAAUUGUUCGUAAACCGGGAUUCCAUAUCGCGGUGGUUGCCUGUAUGAUGAUAACCAUAUAGGCCAGAGUACUGAACUCCUCCAAUUGGCAGGGUUUAUGGUUUAUAUUGAUAAUAUAUAAAUCAUCUGUUAUAAGAAUCUUAGGUAUAUUUUAACAUAAUUUUUCUUUUUUGGGAAUUACAGCAAUAAUGAUGUUAAUAUUCAUCAUCUGUGCAGGAAUUGCACUAGAUGCUUCAUCCACUAAGCACAAGGAUACUGAGGAGAGGACAAGCAAACUCUGUUCACCUGACCAAUUGCUGGGAGUUUCUGCACUGAGGAAUUUACUUUAUGCACCUUAUGCCUAUUGCUAGAAAAGAUUCGGCAACAAAGAUCCAAUUAACUUCAGCAAGAUUCUCAUUCAUAAUGUUCAUGUGCUGACUUCGUCCAUGAUGUUUCUUACCUUAAGCAUAGGGAUAAUAAGAAGACAAACCAACUGUCAAUAUGUCUGACUAGCUGUUCUUCUACACUGUGCACUGGGGAAUCCACCUAAACUUAACUCCCUAGCCCCAACUAUGGUGCCACUGACAGUGUCCCCCCAUGCUGGGGUAAAUCGAGAAAAAUCAAAACUAUUCCAAGAAUAAUUUUUAUCCUUUUUAAAUUAUAAAACAAUUAAAAAUGAGUAAGAAAAACUACAUAUUGACCCUGUAGAAACUUCCUUGUGGCAGCAGUGGCGAGGGAAAUAAAGGGAGUGUUGUUUUGACAGCUGACGCUUCUGGUCACUCCGCACUUAGCAGCCAUUUUCUGCUUGCCAUUGUGUCCGGGAUGGCCAGUAAUACAUACAUUUACUGAUCAUAAUACUUAUUUGUUGUGAAUAAUUCUUUUAGAAUAUUUUAUUUGCAUUAUUUUUCAUAAAAAAGUGCACGGCAACACACACGCAGUCAGUCGCCAGGCUGUCUUUGUGUUUGGUAGGGCAAGUAAUGCAUAAAUUAAUAAUAAUUCCACAAAUAAAUACUUUUAUAACAUAAUCAUAGCAUUAUUAUCCGGUAUUCUACUCAACUACAAUACAACUACACUACUUUUAUCAAUAUGAAACAAAGAAAAGUAGGUAAUUACGUUCAGGAAGCCUUCCUGUGGCCGAGGUUUGGCGUGACAGGCAAAUAAUCACACGGGAACUGAUAAUCAGCACUGGGCAUUUAAACUGGCGGGAAAAGGCAUGCGUUCUGGAAUGUCACCCAGGGCCUUCCAGUCGCAUGUUCCGGUAUUUCGCCCGAGGCAUAAGGGUAAAUGCGUAAAUACUCUAUGCUAAAUAUUGGUUAUUGUUCAGCAGCAAACAGUGUGUGCAUGUUCCCAAAUGCUUUCAUUAAGAUUUCUCAUAUCAUUUAUGAAAGUAUAUAUGAAAAAUUUAACAUUAAAUAACCAUAAGUUCACAGGGUUAGGUUGCACCACCACAAUAAUUCCACCCUAUUGUCUUACUGUGUUCAAUGAUAUGAACCUAAAAAAAAAAUUAUAUACAGUAUAUCUUACCCAGACACUGAGUGUUUUAUAAAUGUAACAAUUUGCAAACUUGUGGUUUUCUGCUCUAUUAAUAAAUCUGAAUUUGUCUAGAUAUUAAAAUAUUUUAUGAUGAUAAACCUUUUAGGGCAGAGUUCUGAGCACCUGCAGUAGACAAGGGCUUAUGGGAUACUUUUAUCCUUCCUGAUAAAAUAUAAAUAUUCACUGUAGUAAAAGGUUUAAUGUGUUUUUUUACUUACAAUUUUUAUCUGUAGAAACUUCUGAUGCUGAUGUCUUCCCCAUAAAAAAUUCCUACGGUGUUUCAUCUUGUAUAUAUAGGGAUAAUGAGAAGAGGAUAAGCACUAUCCAUUCACCUGACUAAAGAUUUUGAGAGACUGUGCAGUGGGAAGUCUACCAAACUGAGUGGCCAAUACAUUAAUCCUAAUAUUGGUUAAGCAACAAAGACCAAUUUCAUGCUCUAAAGUGAUAUAAGUAAGUUUCUUAUUCAUAACACUUGUGUAAGUACUGGGGGUCCUCGCUAUAUGUUGUACAAUUGUGGAUGUUUUAUCUGCGGUACUGAUAUACAGAGAGCUCCAAAUAGUGGCUGUAUUUCUGAACACAUUAAUUUAAAAUUAACGCAAAGUAAUUCUUGGGCCCCCUGCAUUGUUUUGAUAGCAUCACCGAUGUUAGUUGUGCCACUGUUACCCAUUACAGCCAGCGUCAGUGAAAACGUAUGUUAGGUAUUUUUCCUGUGUAUAUUUCUGCUGCAUAUUUAGUCCACUUUUAUAUAUCCCUCACAUUGUCACAAAGGCUUGCAGGAAGACUCUCAGAUGGGAAGAGUGCCAAAAAGAAGUGUAUGGCAUUUUGUAUAAAGAAAAAAGUAGAGUUACUAUAGUGUCUAGAAUCUAUAUAAAGGUGCCUCAAUAAAAUCAUUAAGUGACAAAUAGGGCGUUGGUUAUGCUACCAUGCAUAAUUUGAGGAAACAAAAUGAUAAACUGUUAAAUUUAUACAGGGAUAGAGGUGCACCAAAGUUAAUGGCAGCUAGGAAAACACUACAUCAUGGGAAGAAUGUUGCUAUAGACAGUGUCAAUGGAAUGGAUCCGACAAGUUCGCAGUGAAAAGUUCCCUCUGACUCAUUCCCUCAUCAUGGGCCAGGCAAAAAUAUUCCAUGAACAGUUAGGCAUCACAACACCUUGUGAGUGUUCAUCAGGUUUAUAUGGGAAAUUUUGGAAACAGAAUGGACUUCGUAUCUUGGUUAUAUGCGGUGAAAAAGCAUCAGCUGAUGAUGGUACUGAAGCCUAUUAAGAGGAAUUGAAUAAAUUAAUUACUGAUGUACAAUGCUGAUAAAACUUCUUCAUAUUGUAGGUAUCUUCCACAGAAGAUGGUUGCACACCACAGGAAUCUGCACCAAGUGGGCUUAAAGACUCAAAAGAAAGACUAACUCUGCUUGGGUGUUCUAAUGCAGAAGAGACACAUAAAGCAAAAUUGCUUAUUAUUUGAAAAAGGAGAAUCCCACAAGCAUUAAAAGAUGUCAAAGCUUUGCUAGUUAAAUAUAUGGCUAAUAAGCGAGCAUGAGUAACCAGACACCAUCUUAGACUGGUUUGAAAACCAUUUUGUUCAUUAGGCUAGGGCAUACUGUACAUCUGCAGAGCUUGCCAGUGCUGCCAAAAUUAUGUUAGUUUUAGAUAAUUGCUCUUUGCACCCCAAUGCAAAGUUCUUUGUCAAAAAUAUUGUUUCCUGUUUAUUUACUACCUAACUGUACAUCCUUGAUUCAGCCUCUUGGCCAAGGAAUUCUGUGGUCAUUCAAGUCACAUUAUAAGGGUGAUUUCUUAAAAAAUUGUUGGCAGAAUGCAAUAAAGGAAUUUCAAAGUACA
This is a long non-coding RNA of Homarus americanus (American lobster), 9153 nucleotides long. RefSeq lists it as uncharacterized. NCBI's taxonomy places the organism in Eukaryota, Metazoa, Arthropoda, Malacostraca, Decapoda, Nephropidae. The record is from RefSeq and is a predicted model, not a curated record. The transcript is spliced from 6 exons.